RNAcentral lists this ribosomal RNA (237 nucleotides) under uncultured bacterium. RNAcentral describes it as "partial 16S ribosomal RNA". It matches the Rfam family "Bacterial small subunit ribosomal RNA", at positions 15 to 248 of the family's 1533-position model. The record is from RNAcentral.
GAUCCUGGCUCAGGAUGAACGCUAGCGACAGGCUCAACACAUGCAAGUCGAGGGGCAGCGGGGGUAGCAAUACCCGCCGGCGACCGGCGCACGGGUGAGUAACGCGUAUGCAACUUACCUAUCAGAGGGGGAUAACCCGGCGAAAGUCGGACUAAUACCGCAUGAAGCAGGGGUCCCGCAUGGGGAUAUUUGCUAAAGAUUCAUCGCUGAUAGAUAGGCAUGCGUUCCAUUAGGCAG